Molecule: non-coding RNA, 184 nt
Organism: Pseudonaja textilis
Lineage: Eukaryota; Metazoa; Chordata; Lepidosauria; Squamata; Elapidae
Source: RefSeq, a predicted model, not a curated record
CUUAUGCCUUUUUGUUUCUCAUAUCCUGAUAUCUGGUGAUUUUUUUUCAAGUUGUUUCUCGUUGAGUCUGCUGUCACCAGGUAUGGCAACGUUGACGAUCCACACUUGUUUCUUCUCUACAAUCCUGAUAUCCAGGGUGUUGUGUUCCAAAACUUUAUUAGUCUGUAUUCAGAAGUCCCACAGU